UAAUUUUCAUAUUCAAAUUGCUCGGUAACGGUGUAUCGCUUAAUUUUUACGUUAUUACGGGAAGUAAAUUACAAAACAUAAAAAGAAGAAAAGUAAAAAAACAAAAGCAUAUAGAAAACAUAAUUACAAUAAAAAUUGAUUUCACGAAAUGCAAAAAUAAAACAUAAAGUGUUAAAAAUAAGGAAUAACGUAUAAAUUUAUUAAUAUUAAAGAAAAUUCAGGAUAUUAAUAUCCUUUUUUAAUAUAAAUGUUUAAUAUUCAAAUGGAAGUCAAAAAUAUAGAAACUUAAUAAAAAAGUAGUGUAAAAUAAGAGAAAGAGGAAAAAAGAACAAAAAUGGAGAAUUUUAAAAAUUUUUAUUUUCAAAAUAAUAAAAAAAUUUUAAACUUUUUAUUAAUGAUAUUCAAUUUUAGAAACAUAUUUAUAAAAAAUAAUUGUUUAAUUCGCAAUCCGGUUGUAUAAUAUGCAAUUAAAAUUAAAAUAAUUAAACAGACAUAAAAUGUCUCUAAAUAACAUAUCUGAAAUUUUGAAAAAUAAUCAAAAAUAAAGCACAUAUAAUAUUUUUUUUAUUAUAUAAUUUUAAAGAAAUUGUAAAAUCAUAUUUUUAGUGUAUGAAUGAUUAAAGAGGACAAAUUAUUGAUGAAUCUGCAUUUUUAACAUGAAGCUUAUGGAUAUAUGGUAACAAUAUACCCGCAAAUACUUAGUGUUGUUGAAUGAAAUACUUAACUUUUAUAUAGUGAAAAUAUUAUAGAAAACUCUUAAUUCAAUAUAAAAUUAAUAAAAAUUUUAGUGUAAUAGAAAUUGAAAUAUUUUUUUUUUCAGUAAUUAUAUAAUCCUGUGCAUAUCCAUUCAUACAUAUUGAAUAUUAUAAAAAAAUUUAAAUUAUAAGCAAAUAAAUUUAUUUUGAAAAUUUCCCAAAAAAAAAAUACCCUUUUAUUACUGAAAUAAACAUACACCUACUAUAUAAAAAUAUAUGCAUACAUACAUAAAAGAAAAGCUUAUAGGUGUAUGCAUAACACAUAAAAUUUUCUUUUGAAAAUAUUCUAGAGAAAAAAAGAACAUAAAACCCAAAAAAAAGAAAAAUUUGGUAUCGAAAAAACAGAAACCAAUACCAUUUUAUGUUCGCUAAAAUUCAUAUCGAAAAAAAUAUCAUAAUUAUAAUAUAAACACGAUAUUACACAGAAUUAUAAGGUCUAAUUGUAUGCUACAUAAAUGUAUACAAUAAAAUUACAGAAAGCCUAAAAGUUAAUACCUACACGAAUAUAUGCGAAACACAAAAAAAAAACUAUACAAUAAAAAUACUGUGCAUUGCGAGUUCAAAAGGACAGACGAAAGGAUUAUUUUGUGAUUCCUUUAAAGCUGACUUAAAAAAUCUUAAGAAACAAGUAAAAUAAAAAAUAAAAUUUAAAAACACAAAUACACAAAACAUAUCAAAAAAAAAAGGUUAAAGUACCUUUCCUUUUCUACUUUUUCCCUUUCACAUUUACUUUAGUCUUACAAUUUUUAUUUCAAUUUUAUUCUUAUUUCUUUUUCUUUAUUUUUGAUUUUAUCCUCGAUUUUUUCUCUUGAUUCCUUUUUUUAUUAAAUCAAACAGAAAUCGGAUAUUCCGAAAAUAAGAAAUAUAAAAGAAUCCGUACAAGAAAUUAAGAGACGAAAAAAAAAAAUGUACCUACAUACAUGAAUCCUUUAAAGGAUGAUAUAAAGAAAAAAGAAAAAGAAAUAUUCAAUAUAAAUCGCUUUUGUAUGUUAAAUAAAAAAUAAAGAAAAUGGAAAAUAAAAGAAAAAAAAAUUUGAAACGAAUUGUAAAAAUCAAAUAAAAAUUUUAACCAAAAAAAAAAAUUCUAAAUAAAAACUACAAAAUAAAAGUAUUGGGAAAUUUUUUAAAUCGGGAAAAAAUUUAACCAAAAUAGACAAGUAAAUCAAAGAAAACAAAAAUUAAAAGAAAAAGUAAUAAAGAAAUUUAAUAAAGGAAUAAUUCCGAAAACAUAUCAAAAAACAGACACACACGCAUUCAUAAAUUACAAAAAAAAAGGAUAAAAUAACAAAGAAAAAAAAGGACAAAAGUGGAAAAAUAACGAGACAAAAGGAACAAAAAGCAGACCGGAUUAGAGUAAAGAAUUAUCGAAUUAUGGAUAAAAUUAAAAUAUCUUGGCAUAUCCUAAAACUUGUACUUUUAUUUUUAAUAGGUAAGCGAUUGAUUCAAACAAUUUACAUUAUGUAAGUAUACCUAGUUAAAUUGUAAUUUUCAAUCAUUUUUUAAUUAUUUUUACUUCAACCAGUUAGAGAAAAGAAAUUCCAUUGAGGAGAAUAAUGGAAAAAUGUUAAAGAACUUCGAAGUAAAUAAUGUAGAAUAAAGAUUUUUAGAUAUUAAAUUUGAUGCGACCAACAUAGUAAAUGUAGACACUCAUCUUGUAAGAACAGUGUUAAGCUAUUUAAUAUGAAUUUCGUUUAAAUUAUGUGCAUAUGUCGUACAUAUAACGUAUUAUGAUUAGAGAUAGAAAGUUCCCGCAAAAAUAUGCAUGGAACUAUGCUCCUUAUAAUGAAGAAUAAUAUUCAUUCAAAUGUGCUACAAAAAUCAUAAGUUAUACAGAAAAUAUUUUGUCCUGGAUAACAAUUUUAUCGCAUUAUUUGUAAUGUAAAACUCUGCAACCAGUUUGAA
Condylostylus longicornis is the source of this 2657-nucleotide long non-coding RNA. RefSeq lists it as uncharacterized. The record is from RefSeq and is a predicted model, not a curated record. Lineage: Eukaryota; Metazoa; Arthropoda; Insecta; Diptera; Dolichopodidae. The transcript is spliced from 3 exons.